UCCGAAGAUAGUGUCAACAUCCGGUCAUGACGUAAUUCAGCUCGGUGGCAGGGGCGGCCACCGGUGCUCCACGAGGUGUCAGCAGAUAGGGUACAGUGUGCUUUUACAGUCAGCGUCAGAUAAAGUCAUUCUUUCUCUGAGGCUGAGGGGGGAAAAAAAGGAGGAGGGCAUUACACAAUUACCCUCAGUGUGGAAGAAACUCAGUAUCUCGCCUCAUAAUGGAUAGAUCUGCACUCCUGUUUCUGUCUGCCCUUCUUGCAGGAUCCUGCGCUCAGUUUACAGACGCCAUCAACGUUGAUGUACGAAAAAAUGAGCCAUCAACACAAAAAUCAGAGAAGACAGAAAACUACAUGCCAAUACUCUGCUCACCAAUACCUACCACCUUAUCCUCACCCUCUUC
Molecule: long non-coding RNA, 400 nt
Organism: Larimichthys crocea (large yellow croaker)
Lineage: Eukaryota; Metazoa; Chordata; Actinopteri; Sciaenidae
Exons: 4
Source: RefSeq, a predicted model, not a curated record